GGGAAAUUUCCUGCCGCGGAAAAAACAGGGGUACUCUCCACUCCAGAUCCAAACUGUGUUUUUUUUUCUUCACGCUGAAGCUCUAGUGCUCUAUCCCUCAAUCCUUGGGAUCCACCAUUUGAGAUCUGGUUUAAAUUCCGUUUCCAGAUUCUGGUGCGGAAUCUGAUACAACCAAGCUGCAUACUACUCGCUGAUUCGCUGGUAAGGGAAAUAAAGAUAUAUAUUAGCUCCAAUGGCUGUGAGAAAGCCCGGUUUGAUUGCUUUAUUUGAUGUUGAUGGUACUCUCACAGCACCAAGAAAGGUAUCUAUUGUCUUCUUUCAUUUUUGUUCGUUUGGAUUUUAAUGAUUUUUCCUUUUUAUUUAUUAGGUAUAAUGAGACUUAAGCAAGUUACCAUUAUUAAUUCAUUAAGUUACAGGGCAAAAGCCAAAAUUUGUGGGCUGUUUCUUAUUUUGUUAGACUAUAUGUGGAAUUGACUCCUUGUUUAAUGUUUUCGAUUCAAAUUCCAGCUGGCCACUCCAAAGAUGCUAGAGUUCAUGCAGGAACUCCGGAAAGUAUGCAUUGGUUUAGUAUCAUUAAAAAUUUGUUCAAUUAUUGCUUUUGUUUGUGUUUUCUUCUCCACCCUUCAUCAAGUGUUACCAUAUACAUGAUAGCCUUUGUUCGACUGAAGGUUGUUACUGUGGGAGUGGUGGGUGGAUCUGAUCUCUGUAAGAUAUCAGAGCAGCUUGGCAAGACAGUUACUAAGGACUACGACUAUGUAUUUUCUGAGAAUGGGCUUGUGGCUCAUAAAGAUGGGAAACUUAUUGGCACCCAGGUAUUGCUUACAAACAAAAUCCGUAAAACUUAAGCUCAGAAUUAGAUUUUUGUUUUCCUCAAAAUUCCUGAUGGGCAAUGACUUGUGUGAACCUAACUUUUUCCUCUAAAUUGAUAUGUCGUUCCAACAACAUUUUCUGUUUUCUAGAGCAUGAAGACAUUUCUUGGAGAAGAAAAGCUCAAGAUAAGUUACUUAUGCUUCCACAUAAACAUCUUGAAGUAGUUGCCUAAGAAAACAGGGGGGAAACGGACAACUGGAAUAAAUAGAAUAAUAUAAGAAAUAUGUAAGGAAUAAUGUUUUAAGGAAGCCACUAAGUAGGCUGACAUGCAGCAUGCACUUAUCUUCUCAAUACUUGUGGCUAUAGUAUUUGCCCCUGUGAGACUGCCUGCAGAUAGGACCAACAAUAAGCAAUUUAAAAGUAUUAGGACUUGAUUAAAAAUAAAUAAAUAAAAGAAGAAGAAGAAGAUUGGGCUUGCUUGUAAAAAAGGACCAUGUUUUAUUACUGAAAAUGUAGUUCUCUCAUAAUUUUUUGGAAGCCUCUAUGAUGAAGACCAAUUACGAAUUAAUUGUGAUACCAAUAUUGAAUUAGAUUUGUUUGGAAUAUUCUUGGAAGUGGUGAUUAAAUUGCAGCUCAAUCGCUAGAUGCACAGAAUACAUAGAUUAGUGGCAUAAUAAUUAUUCCGUUAUUUUUUCUGAUAUAUUGUGAAUGAUUGUGCAGGAAUUUAUAAAUUUUACACUUCAUUAUAUUGCUGACUUGGAUAUUCCAAUAAAAAGGGGCACAUUUAUAGAAUUCCGGAGUGGGAUGAUUAAUGUAUCACCAAUUGGGCGGAAUUGCAGCCAAGAAGAAAGGGAAGAAUUUGAGAAGUAUGACAAGGUCCAUAACAUACGCCCAAAAAUGGUGUCUGUGCUGCGUGAGAAGUUCGCGCACCUUAACCUGACAAUCUCAAUAGGUGGACAGAUAAGUUUUGAUGUUUUUCCUCAAGGUUGGGACAAGACAUACUGCUUGAGAUACCUUGAUGAGUUUGAUGAAAUCCACUUCUUUGGGGACAAAACUUACAAGGUUGUACUUUUAUUUCCUUGCUUAACUCUUUGGCCAUUUUCUUGCAUUAUGUUUUCCAUCAAUCGCUUAUGACACUGCUGUUGAUGACCUCUUUCUUUCUCAUAGAUUUGUUGCCACUAAAUCGUAUGUAUAUGUUUUCUUUCAAAUAAUCAUCAUUUUAUUGGGCCCUUGUGUUAUGUGGAUUGUGUUGUGUCUCUAACUUAAAAUAUUUAUAAGUGCCAUUUCUAUUAUCAUAGGACCUCAUGAUUAUGAAUUCCCUCAAUAUUUCUGGUAGUAGUAUGGUUGGUAUAGCUGGCAUUCUUAAUAAAGAAAUCAUUGAUCAAGAAAACUUUAUUAUCUGAGGUAAAAAGGUUACAGAGUAGCCAAAGAGUUGAAGAAAAUUAAAAUUAUCAAUUUUUUAACUGAUAAUAAUGGUCAUUGAUUCAUUGGAGUGGCAAGCCAGUGUCCCUUUUGCUAUUUGCUAACCCAAAAUUCUAGCACAAGCACUCUUGAGCAGUUGAGCUAUUUUUCACUAAAGUUGAGCAUUUCAGGCCUGUGCACAUCAAUUAUGAUAAAAUCUGAGGAAUGGAUUAUAAUCAGUUCAAAGAAAAAAAGGAAUGUAGUACACUGGAGUAGUAGGAUUCUGAUCAAGGUUGGAGUUGAUUCUCUAAUCUACAGUUAUAUUCUCAAGCCAAAAUGUAUUUACAAUUUUAGACAGAAAGUGAACCCCUGUUCUGAGUCGAAUUCAUCCCCAAAAUUCAGGCUUGGUCCUCAGCCUCAGUGUACCAUUGGCAUUGUACUGUCAGUAUACAUUUUGAGAUCUGUUUUGCUUCUAUUUUACUACUCAGUUGAAUAACCUUGCAUUUACUAAUUCUUUUUUUAAAUCAGGGAGGAAAUGAUCAUGAAAUUUAUGAAUCAGAACGAACUGUGGGUCACCCAGGUCAGCAAAAGAUUUCAUCUUCAACUUAUCUAUCUGCAUAUUGAAUGCAAUAAGGAAAUAGUAUCAUCUCAUUUUGUUUCAAUCUGAUGCAGUCCAAAAGAAACAAACCAAGUGAAAGAAAAUGUUAAGAAAAGAUUGUUCAAAAGGCUAAAGGUUAAUUGUAUUCUCAUUGAAAGAUAGGCUUCCAGAACAGACUAUUAAAGGGGUCUAACAUGGGGCUUUCUCCUAGUUGCCUGGGUAGUCAACCAUCAAAGUUUUGGAACGUACGAUCAACUAAAUAACCAAAGGCUCUCAAAGACGCUUAUAUAAACCUUUCCGUUGGGAAUUCAAAAUAAAUCUUUAUUAUUUAAUGCUGCAUUCAUUCUUCAAUUUGUCCCCAUAAUGUCAAUAGAUUUUGAGGUUUGAGAUCCCAUGUUCUUUUGUUUACCAUCCAUUACCGCAUCAAAAUUGUUACAUAUGAUGGAGUUGCUACAGUAAAUUCAGAUUUCAUCUAGUUAUUAAAAUAUAUAUUUAAUUUGCCUUGUUUAUAUUAUAUCAAAUGAUUUCGAUCCUGCCUUUUUGCAGUUAUCAGCCCUGAAGAUACAGUGGAGCAAUGUAAAGCUUUGUUCUUAGUAAAUUCCUAAGCUUAUGGGCUAUUUUUAUGUUCAGUUGUAUCCCAUUGAGUUCACUUACCAAAUGGGAAAUGAAUUGUUGAAAUCUCGACCCUAUUCAAUUCGAUUAAAUUGAUUAUUAUUUUUAUAGAUAGAUAUGGUAAUUAUCUAAGUAAAUAUUAUAAGUUUGUUACUUUUAAUACGUACAUGUUUAAUUAUAAG
This 3603-nucleotide unclassified non-coding RNA is filed under the name Hevea brasiliensis (rubber tree). The record is from RNAcentral. Lineage: Eukaryota; Viridiplantae; Streptophyta; Magnoliopsida; Malpighiales; Euphorbiaceae.